Molecule: long non-coding RNA, 1900 nt
Filed under: Lonchura striata (white-rumped munia)
Lineage: Eukaryota; Metazoa; Chordata; Aves; Passeriformes; Estrildidae
Description: domestica (Bengalese finch) lncRNA (ENSLSDG00000017265.1)
Source: RNAcentral
AUAGUUUUGUAUUAAUUUGCACCAAUGGUUUAUCAUGGGUUUGCAUCGAUUUCAGGUUUUUCUCUUGUACCCAUCAAGUCCAGAAGCUUACAAGUAGGAGUGCCCUUUUGAUUUUUACCUUACAGCAUGAAUCCAGGAGCAGGAACAUUCAUAAAAAUGCUAAGUGGGACCAGGCUUAUGCCAAAAAAUCCUAAGCACUCUGGCAGAGCAUUGCUCAGCCAUGAAGCUGUGUAUAUUGGAUAUAUAGAUCUCAUCUGGGUCAUCGCUGAGCUGGAAGAUGGAGCAGCUGCCAGGUUUCUGUCUGCUGGAUGGAGUCACUGAGUCUCAAGGUAGAAGAAAACUCCUACACACAAAUGUUGUAUUGGCAACCAAGGCCCAGCCCCAGGAGCUCAGUGCUGCUUUGAAUGGAGCACAGCAAUUGAUUGUCCUGGUUGAAUAAAUCCUUGAUUUCAGAUCAAGCUCUGGUGAAUGGCUCUGGCUAUUGCACAGAAAAGUCACAAGCAGAAUAUUGGAUCUCAGGGCCAUAUACUUCCUUUUGAGGAGCUCCUGUGUCUCCAUUUAAUUGCAUCUGCAAACAGAAGGAGGGAAAGCAGGCAGUGCCCUGUCUGUAGCAGUGCACUCCUAUUGAAAAGAAAGGAAAGAGCAUUAUCUUGUAAAGCGCUGUUCUGCUAGUGGUUCUCCAGCAAACGUGGCUACUUUGGAUGACUUCUGAGACACUGGAUAACUUGAUAUCUUGCAGGCUGUUAUCUGAAUCUACAAAGUUCACUUAGACAUUGGAACAGAAUCUUCAAACAAGGAACAACUGGGUGUCAUCAGCCAAUCUCCUCCCAUGAGUAAGUUCCCCAUGGUUUUAUAUAUGCUCUCCAACACAGUAUAAACUAUGUGCAGGAGGGCCACGAAGCUCUUCCAGAAGCAGCAGUACAUUCACACCUUCCCAACAGCAACAGCCUGGGAUUUUCAAGGGACACCAGAUCAUGGCCUUGGAUGAGCCCAGCACAAGAAAGCAGCUGUGCUUGGACUGUGCAUGGCACCACAGGGCACUGCUGGCCCUGGUGGGGCAGCAGUGCAUGGUGGGGAGAUGUGCAAAGCACUUUCUGGAUCAGGGAAGUUUUCUAUGAGGCAUAGCACAGUACAGGGUUGAGGAAAUGGUGGGUGUCUGGAGAUGUGGCUGCUACUGAGGCUGGAGGCUUUUAGAAAUUAAGAGCAUUGUGGCAGCAAUUACACAUCCUCAGUCCUGCUCCUCCCUUCCCUCCUGCAACCUGUGGAAUUUGGGAUAUUCCUCUGAAGUAAGUUUCUGGACAUACAAUGAAGGCUCAGAUCUUGUCUUUUCUCAAAGUUAACCGGAUUUCCUCUGUAAAAAGAGGGAUUUUUCUACCAGACAUUGAUGCUUUGGCCUCAGCUAAAGAAAAAAUUCUGGGGUUUGUGAUUUCCUUGUCCCACUGGAGAGACUGACAGCACUAAGGGAAUGUUACCUGGCCCCUCUUCUCAUCACCCCCAAAACAUCAUGCCCUAGAAAUGGCAGGGCUGCAAAAAAAACCCCAUUUACUUUCACGUUGGGCUUUGUGGGAACCACAUUUCCUGCCAGUCUCUGCAACCAGAGGGCUGAACACUGAUUUCAUUUAUUAAGGAUGGAAAUAUAUGGGUGAACUCCUCGGGUAGGAACACGCAGUUCUGAUUGCUGGUUCUUCAAGAAAAAUGGGAAAUCCUGCUAUUCACAGCAGAAUUGCUCUGUUUUCCCUGCUCAUUUUGAGCCUGUGUGCAGUGUGCUGUCUGUGUGCUGUUCCCCAGCACGUGGCAGGGGUCCAGCCUGUGCCCACAACAGCAGGUGCCCCCUGGAAGAAGGGGAAAAGAGGGAAUUGCAUACAAUAAAAAAUGAGAGACUAGAGAAAUGCUAAUUAUU